UGGAAGGACUAGGACGGCGCCAAGUUCCGAACCUGGUCAGGUCCGGGAGGAAGCAGCCAUAAGGGACCGCUGACGAGCGUCCUAGUCUUUCCAGGG
RNAcentral lists this signal recognition particle RNA (96 nucleotides) under Eggerthellaceae bacterium. RNAcentral's name for it is "signal recognition particle sRNA small type". It matches the Rfam family "Bacterial small signal recognition particle RNA". From Rfam's summary of the family: The signal recognition particle (SRP) is a universally conserved ribonucleoprotein involved in the co-translational targeting of proteins to membranes. Archaeal SRP consists of a 7S RNA and homologues of the eukaryotic SRP19 and SRP54 proteins. In most bacteria, the SRP consists of a 4.5S RNA and the Ffh protein (a homologue of the eukaryotic SRP54 protein). Lineage: Bacteria; Bacillati; Actinomycetota; Coriobacteriia; Eggerthellales; Eggerthellaceae. The record is from RNAcentral.